RNAcentral lists this ribosomal RNA (1366 nucleotides) under Escherichia coli. Its description in RNAcentral is "partial 23S ribosomal RNA". It matches the Rfam family "Bacterial large subunit ribosomal RNA", at positions 517 to 1869 of the family's 2925-position model. Lineage: Bacteria; Pseudomonadati; Pseudomonadota; Gammaproteobacteria; Enterobacterales; Enterobacteriaceae. The record is from RNAcentral.
AAAAGAACCCCGGCGAGGGGAGUGAAAAAGAACCUGAAACCGUGUACGUACAAGCAGUGGGAGCACGCUUAGGCGUGUGACUGCGUACCUUUUGUAUAAUGGGUCAGCGACUUAUAUUCUGUAGCAAGGUUAACCGAAUAGGGGAGCCGAAGGGAAACCGAGUCUUAACUGGGCGUUAAGUUGCAGGGUAUAGACCCGAAACCCGGUGAUCUAGCCAUGGGCAGGUUGAAGGUUGGGUAACACUAACUGGAGGACCGAACCGACUAAUGUUGAAAAAUUAGCGGAUGACUUGUGGCUGGGGGUGAAAGGCCAAUCAAACCGGGAGAUAGCUGGUUCUCCCCGAAAGCUAUUUAGGUAGCGCCUCGUGAAUUCAUCUCCGGGGGUAGAGCACUGUUUCGGCAAGGGGGUCAUCCCGACUUACCAACCCGAUGCAAACUGCGAAUACCGGAGAAUGUUAUCACGGGAGACACACGGCGGGUGCUAACGUCCGUCGUGAAGAGGGAAACAACCCAGACCGCCAGCUAAGGUCCCAAAGUCAUGGUUAAGUGGGAAACGAUGUGGGAAGGCCCAGACAGCCAGGAUGUUGGCUUAGAAGCAGCCAUCAUUUAAAGAAAGCGUAAUAGCUCACUGGUCGAGUCGGCCUGCGCGGAAGAUGUAACGGGGCUAAACCAUGCACCGAAGCUGCGGCAGCGACACUAUGUGUUGUUGGGUAGGGGAGCGUUCUGUAAGCCUGCGAAGGUGUGCUGUGAGGCAUGCUGGAGGUAUCAGAAGUGCGAAUGCUGACAUAAGUAACGAUAAAGCGGGUGAAAAGCCCGCUCGCCGGAAGACCAAGGGUUCCUGUCCAACGUUAAUCGGGGCAGGGUGAGUCGACCCCUAAGGCGAGGCCGAAAGGCGUAGUCGAUGGGAAACAGGUUAAUAUUCCUGUACUUGGUGUUACUGCGAAGGGGGGACGGAGAAGGCUAUGUUGGCCGGGCGACGGUUGUCCCGGUUUAAGCGUGUAGGCUGGUUUUCCAGGCAAAUCCGGAAAAUCAAGGCUGAGGCGUGAUGACGAGGCACUACGGUGCUGAAGCAACAAAUGCCCUGCUUCCAGGAAAAGCCUCUAAGCAUCAGGUAACAUCAAAUCGUACCCCAAACCGACACAGGUGGUCAGGUAGAGAAUACCAAGGCGCUUGAGAGAACUCGGGUGAAGGAACUAGGCAAAAUGGUGCCGUAACUUCGGGAGAAGGCACGCUGAUAUGUAGGUGAAGCGACUUGCUCGUGGAGCUGAAAUCAGUCGAAGAUACCAGCUGGCUGCAACUGUUUAUUAAAAACACAGCACUGUGCAAACACGAAAGUGGACGUAUACGGUGUGACGCCUGCCCGGUGC